RNAcentral lists this ribosomal RNA (775 nucleotides) under uncultured Neocallimastigales. Its description in RNAcentral is "partial large subunit ribosomal RNA". It matches the Rfam family "Eukaryotic large subunit ribosomal RNA", at positions 26 to 645 of the family's 3401-position model. The record is from RNAcentral. Lineage: Eukaryota; Fungi; Neocallimastigomycota; Neocallimastigomycetes; Neocallimastigales.
CGCAUCUGUGCAUGCAGCAUAUCAAUAAGCGGAGGAAAAGAAACUAACAAGGAUUCCCUUAGUAACGGCGAGUGAAGCGGGAAGAGCUCAAAUUUGAAAUCUUCAAGGUUUUACCUUGACGAAUUGUAGAUUUAAAGAAGUGUUUUCUGUUGAAGUUUUGGUAAAAGUUCUUUGGAAUAGGACAUCAUAGAGGGUGAGAAUCCCGUAUUUGACCAUUAUUUUCAGCUGUGUGAUACACUUUCAAAGAGUCGGAUUGUUUGGGAAUGCAGUCCAAAAUGGGUGGUAAAUUUCAUCUAAAGCUAAAUAUUGGCGAGAGACCGAUAGCGAACAAGUACCGUGAGGGAAAGAUGAAAAGAACUUUGAAAAGAGAGUUAAACAGUACGUGAAAUUGUCAAAAGGGAAGCGUUUGACACUAGUGUUGUUUUCUCGAAAAAUCAAUUAAAAAGAGUUAGAUUUUGUUGUGUAUUGACCUUAACAGCUUGCAUUUCAAUUUUCUUGCUUUUUUUAAUGCACUUUUCGUUUAACAAGUCAACAUCAGUUUCUUUUGUUGUAAAAAGGUCAUUGGAAGGUGGCUUUCUUUUCGGAGAAAGUGUUUAUAGCCUUUGACUCCUGCAAUCGGAGAGACUGAGGUCUGCAGCGUAGAUCCUUCGGGGUUAGAUACAUUUGUGCUAAGUUAUAGCUUUUUAUAGACAACUUGUUGACUAUGAUUAGUCUUGUAGCUUACUCGCUUAUGCUAUUUUACCUACGCUUAGGAUGUUGAUGUGAUACUGCGAGC